AUACGUAGGUGACAAGCGUUAUCCGGAUUUACUGGGCGUAAAGGGCGUGUAGGCGGUCUUGCAAGUCAGAAGUGAAAUUCCUGUGCUCAACUCGGGCGCUUCUUCUGAAACUGCAGGACUUGAGUGCUGGAGGGGAUAGCGGAAUUCCUAGUGGAGCGGUAAAAUGCGCAGAUAUUAGGAAGAACACCGGUGGCGAAGGCGGCUAUCUGGACAGUAACGGACGCUGAGGCGCGAAAGCGUGGGGAGCAAACAGUAUUAGAUACCCGGGUAGUCCACGCCGUAAACGAUGAAUACUAGGUGUGGGGGGACUGACCCCCUCCGUGCCGCAGUUAACACAAUAAGUAUUCCACCUGGGGAGUACGGCCGCAAGGUUGAAACUCAAAUGAAUUGACGGGG
This 396-nucleotide ribosomal RNA is filed under the name uncultured bacterium. Its description in RNAcentral is "partial 16S ribosomal RNA". It matches the Rfam family "Bacterial small subunit ribosomal RNA", at positions 523 to 918 of the family's 1533-position model. The record is from RNAcentral.